GAUGAACGCUGGCGGCGUGCCUAAUACAUGCAAGUCGAGCGAACAGACGAGGAGCUUGCUCCUCUGACGUUAGCGGCGGACGGGUGAGUAACACGUGGAUAACCUACCUAUAAGACUGGGAUCACUUCGGGAAACCGGAGCUAAUACCGGAUAAUAUAUUUAACCGCAUGGUUCAAUAGUGAAAUACGGUUUUGCUGUCACUUAUAGAUGGAUCCGCGCGGCAUUAGCUAGUUGGUAAGGUAACGGCUUACCAAGGCGAGGAUUCGUAGCCGACCUGAGAGGGUGGUCGGCCACACUGGAACUGAGACACGGUCCAGACUCCUACGGGAGGCAGCAGUAGGGAAUCUUCCGCAAUGGGCGAAAGCCUGACGGAGCAACGCCGCGUGAGUGAUGAAGGUCUUCGGAUCGUAAAACUCUGUUAUUAGGGAAGAACAAAUGUGUAAGUAACUAUGCACGUCUUGACGGUACCUAAUCAGAAAGCCACGGCUAACUACGUG
This 497-nucleotide ribosomal RNA is filed under the name uncultured bacterium. Its description in RNAcentral is "partial 16S ribosomal RNA". It matches the Rfam family "Bacterial small subunit ribosomal RNA", at positions 28 to 507 of the family's 1533-position model. The record is from RNAcentral.